GGAUAGCUCAGUUGGUUAGAGUAUGGUGCUGAUAAUACCAAGAAUGUAGGUUUGAUUCCUGAAAGAGACA
Molecule: non-coding RNA, 70 nt
Organism: Podarcis lilfordi (Lilford's wall lizard)
Lineage: Eukaryota; Metazoa; Chordata; Lepidosauria; Squamata; Lacertidae
Source: the annotation of a GenBank genome assembly